UCCAUCCAUCCAUCCAUCCAUCCAUUCAUUCAUUCAUUCAUUCAUUCAUUCAUUAGAUUUCUAAACGGCUUUUCCAGAGCUGAGGGCAGUUUACAGUACAGUAAAAAUCACAACAAUAUGAAAUUAAAAACCAAUACUGAUUCCAAUAUUACAGUAUUCAGCACUGUGAAUCAGAAGCAUCAACUUGGCCAGCAGUUACAUGGAGGGUAACACACCAAACCAGUGGCCUCAAUCUGGAGGAACGCCUGUCAAACGAGUUCUGUUAUGCAGGCCCUGCAGAAUUGAGAUAAGUCUGACAGUGCAUGGAUUUCCCCAGGCGGAGCAUUUCACCAGGAAGGAGCUGCCACCAAAAGUAAUCUAAAUAUGAUGUAAGACGGACAGACUUUACAGGGUCCGGGCAACCUCAAAAAACUGCCUGAUGGUGUAGCAACUAUAGGGGAAUGUAUGGGAGGAGAUGGCCCCUCAGAUAAAUUGGGCCCAGGCCAUAUAGGGCUUUAACAGUAAUAACUAACAUAUUGAAUCUCACUUGGAUCACAAUUGGCAACCAGUGCAACUGUUUCAAUAGGGGCAGAGAGUGGGUGUCCCAUGGGUACCCUGUGGGGACACUUGCAGAAGCAUGAUGCAGUUUCUGUAAUGAUUUCAAGGGUAUCCCCACAUAGAGUGGAUUACAAUAAUUCAAUGUGGGAGUGACCAUGGCAUGAAUUACUAUAGCAUGGUCCGUCUGAAAGAGAAAUGGGGAUAAUUGACAGGCAUGGCAAAGAUGAAGAAAGCUGAUUGUACCAUCACUGACACCUGCCCAAAGCCAUACCCAUCAAUGUAAGCUGGACACUGUCCAGAGUCAGGUGCAAAGGUCCCUCGGAAGUCCCAGGUUGGCCCAGUGACAUAACCUCCAUCUUAGAUGGUUUUAACUUCAGCCAAAGAAGACUCUGCAGAAGAAGGCAAUGGCAAAUCACUUCUGAUGCUCACUGGCCUUGAAUUCAUCUUACUGGGGUCACCAUGGUCCCUUCCGCACAUGCAGAAUAAUGCACUUUCAAUCCACUUUCAAUGCACUUUGCAGCUGUGCAAAAUAGCAAAAUCCACUUGCAAACAGUUGUGAAAGUGGAUUGAACGUGCAUUAUUCUGCAUGUGUGGAAGGGACCCAUGAGUCAACUGAGACUUGAUGGCACUUUUCACACAGGAUAAUACAAAAAAUACAAUAAUAGAAUAAUAAACACAUAACCAUGAUCAUUAAAAUAUAGAGAUGCUUAAAGAAUUUUUUGCAUGUAGGAUGUUAGCUUUAUUGUAUGUUGUGUCUGUUUCUUCCUCUGUGGGUCCCUAAACUAUAAGCAUCUUUUCAUCAGAUCAUGGAUCAGAUGUUGGUUUAUAACCAUCAGAUGCUCAUGAUAAAAUGCAUUCUCAUCCUUCCUAUUUCCCAUCCUACUUUUAGCAUCAUAUCCCUGGAAUGUGUUUUGUGACUUAUGAUAAACCUUGUAGGAUAUAUGUGAAACAAAAAUAGCAAAGAAAUUGUAAUAGUGGCUGAUAGAGACAUGCUGCGCUUUCAAAAUAUGUGGACAAUUUCUGAAAUACUGUAAGGGUGUAAUUUUAUUUUCCCCCCUGUUCUCUGAAUGCUAAAAAGACACUCUUUGCUUCAGGUCCUGGAUAUAGGUCACGACGCCAACGUCCGAGCGGACAAAGAUUCCAGUUUGCCUCUCGAUGGCCCAGAUAACUUUCUACCUGAAUGGAAUUAACCAGAAAAAGUAGAAGACAGCAAAAUGUUUUGAUAACGUAUGAUAACAAAUCAUCAGAAUUAUUUGACUUCUUUGUACUGCAAUAAAAACACAGCAACUGUUCUGAGAUUAAAA
Molecule: long non-coding RNA, 1841 nt
Organism: Sphaerodactylus townsendi
Lineage: Eukaryota; Metazoa; Chordata; Lepidosauria; Squamata; Sphaerodactylidae
Exons: 2
Source: RefSeq, a predicted model, not a curated record